Molecule: ribosomal RNA, 274 nt
Filed under: uncultured bacterium
Lineage: Bacteria
Description: partial 16S ribosomal RNA
Rfam family: Bacterial small subunit ribosomal RNA
Source: RNAcentral
AUACGGAGGGAGCAAGCGUUAUUCGGAAUCACUGGGCGUAAAGGACGCGUAGGCGGGUUUGUAAGUCAGGUGUGAAAUCCUACAGCCCAACUGUAGAACUGCACUUGAAACUACAGACCUAGAGUAUGGAAGGGGCAGAUGGAAUUAGUGGUGUAGGGGUAAAAUCCGUAGAUAUCACUAGGAAUACCGAAAGCGAAGGCGAUCUGCUGGGACAUUACUGACGCUGAGGCGUGAAAGCGUGGGGAGCAAACAGGAUUAGAAACCCCAGUAGUCC